UACAGAGGUCUCAAGCGUUGUUCGGAUUCAUUGGGCGUAAAGGGUGCGUAGGCGGCGCGGUAAGUCGGGUGUGAAAUCCCUCGGCUUAACCAAGGAAGUGCAUCCGAAACUGCAGAGCUUGAGUACUUAAGAGGAUCGCGGAAUUCCCGGUGUAGAGGUGAAAUUCGUAGAUAUCGGGAGGAACACCAGUGGCGAAGGCGGCGAUCUGGGAAGAUACUGACGCUGAGGUGCGAAAGCGUGGGGAGCAAACAGG
This 253-nucleotide ribosomal RNA is filed under the name uncultured bacterium. Its description in RNAcentral is "partial 16S ribosomal RNA". It matches the Rfam family "Bacterial small subunit ribosomal RNA", at positions 524 to 776 of the family's 1533-position model. The record is from RNAcentral.